UGGGGAAUAUUGGACAAUGGGCGAAAGCCUGAUCCAGCCAUGCCGCGUGUGUGAAGAAGGUCUUCGGAUUGUAAAGCACUUUAAGUUGGGAGGAAGGGCAGUAAGCGAAUACCUUGCUGUUUUGACGUUACCGACAGAAUAAGCACCGGCUAACUCUGUGCCAGCAGCCGCGGUAAUACAGAGGGUGCAAGCGUUAAUCGGAAUUACUGGGCGUAAAGCGCGCGUAGGUGGUUCGUUAAGUUGAAUGUGAAAGCCCCGGGCUCAACCUGGGAACUGCAUCCAAAACUGGCGAGCUAGAGUAGGGCAGAGGGUGGUGGAAUUUCCUGUGUCGCGGUGAAAUGCGUAGAUAUAUGAAGGAACACCAGUGGCGAAGGCGACCACCUGGGCUCAUACUGACACUGAGGUGCGAAAGCGUGGGGAGCAAACAGG
This 429-nucleotide ribosomal RNA is filed under the name Pseudomonadota bacterium. Its description in RNAcentral is "Proteobacteria bacterium partial 16S ribosomal RNA". It matches the Rfam family "Bacterial small subunit ribosomal RNA", at positions 355 to 776 of the family's 1533-position model. Lineage: Bacteria; Pseudomonadati; Pseudomonadota. The record is from RNAcentral.